GAGGAAAAAGGACCAACAGGGAUUGCCCCAGUAACGGCGAGUGAAGCGGCAACAGCUCAAAUUUGAAAUCUGGUCCCCAGGGCCCGAGUUGUAAUUUGCAGAGGAUGCUUUUGGUGAGGUGCCUUCCGAGUUCCCUGGAACGGGACGCCAUAGAGGGUGAGAGCCCCGUCUGGUUGGAUACCGAGCCUCUGUAAAGCUCCUUCGACGAGUCGAGUAGUUUGGGAAUGCUGCUCUAAAUGGGAGGUAUAUGUCUUCUAAAGCUAAAUAUUGGCCAGAGACCGAUAGCGCACAAGUAGAGUGAUCGAAAGAUGAAAAGCACUUUGAAAAGAGGGUUAAAUAGUACGUGAAAUUGUUGAAAGGGAAGCACUUAUGACCAGACUUGGCCCCGGUGAAUCAUCCAGCGGUUCCCGUUGGUGCACUUUGCCGGGGUUCAGGCCAGCAUCAGUUCGCUCCGGGGGAUAAAGGCUUUGGGAAUGUGGCUCCCUCGGGAGUGUUAUAGCCCAUUGCGCAAUACCCUGUGGCGGGCUGAGGUUCGCGC
Molecule: ribosomal RNA, 538 nt
Filed under: Metarhizium anisopliae
Lineage: Eukaryota; Fungi; Ascomycota; Sordariomycetes; Hypocreales; Clavicipitaceae
Description: partial large subunit ribosomal RNA
Rfam family: Eukaryotic large subunit ribosomal RNA
Source: RNAcentral